This 65-nucleotide transfer RNA is filed under the name Acanthobothrium sp. MZUSP 8033. RNAcentral's name for it is "tRNA-Gly". Lineage: Eukaryota; Metazoa; Platyhelminthes; Cestoda; Tetraphyllidea; Onchobothriidae. The record is from RNAcentral. RNAcentral also lists the same sequence under 2 other names.
ACGUUAUUAGUAUAAAAAUUAUAUUACUUUUCCAAAGUAGUGAUCUAGGCUUUCUAGAUAACGUA